GUUGAAGAAAUGAUGCACAAACAGUAAUCGAAUCAAAGUACGAUAGGUAACACCGGAUCAGUUUUAUAUUCCAAACAACAAUGAAGACUCUUGUGCUUAUUGCGUGUUUAGUAACAAUAUCCUACGCCGCUAAUCUUGAAAAAAUGAAAUUAUUCUAUCAAACCAUCCAAACUUGUUUCAAGGAAGAGAAUGUACAAGAUUGGACUCCAGAAGCGGCUCGAUGUGUAUUCUACAAGCGUGGAUUUGUUGACGAUAAGGGUGUAACUAUGAAAGAUAAACUUUUUAAAAAUUAGGAUAUAUAAUUUCCGAUGAGAGCAAAUUAAAUCAAGCAAAAGAGAUCUUUAUUAAGUGUGAGGAACAAGAAAAACAAGGACCAGGAACUAACGAGGAGAAGCUUUUAAAAAUUAUAACAUGCGCAAUGCCGACAAAAGACUUAAUCGACAAAUAAAAGAAAGAUCAUUUUUUCUUUCACAUAAUAUUCAUAUAAAAUAAUAACGAUGAAGAGAUAAAGUAUAUAUAGUAAUGAGAUAAGAAUACUUUUGAUCCUUUCUUUAUACUAACGGGUUAUUGGGAAUUUUACACAAAAAUUUUUUUGUCACUUGAAUUAACGUGUACCUACUUUAUAUUAUAUUUAAUAAAAUUAUAAAUUUAAAAAAUUA
Non-coding RNA from Nylanderia fulva, 659 nucleotides. Lineage: Eukaryota; Metazoa; Arthropoda; Insecta; Hymenoptera; Formicidae. The record is from RefSeq and is a predicted model, not a curated record.